CUCGGAAAGAACUUUCUCUAAGAAGUCAAAGCUCUUAUUAAAAACACCAGGAAAAGAGGGAAUUGUCAUCACAGUGCAGGGAAUCUCAAGUGUCCUCCUGACAGAAAUAACUAGCUUACUGUUUGUAACAGGAAGAGGCUGAACAGCUCCACCUCACUCUGUCAAUUACCUCAUCCCAACCCUUAGUCUAGCCUACAGCAUCUCAGUUCUGGGAACGGGCUCAGGCAGAAAAUAUGUUAAAGAGUUCAGCCAGUGUCAGCUUUUUAAGAUAGGUAGCAAGGGAAAUACAAAUAUUUCCAAAGCGAGAAAAUCUUCCUGGCACCUUAUUCGUGCUCCAUGUCUCCUUCUUCAAAGUUCUCUGCAGACACCUGUGAACCAGGGCACAACCCACACAUAAUGGAGCACAGCGCUGUAGUGGGGGGGCAACAUGAGCCAUAUCCAAAUCGUGGGCAGAGAAAAGGGAGGCAGCGCAAGAGGAGAGUCAGUAUGUGGAGCUGCAAGGCGAGUCCUUGCUUGACUCAAAAACAGCUGUGCAAGACUUCAGCCAUGCAGCGCUUGUCCGCAGGUGUUGCUGAAGUGUCUCUGAAGAUCUGAAGAGAAAGGUCAGAGUUUCUACUUUGAUUGGAAAUUUCUUCUAUCUUAGAGGAGGAAGAGAGGAAAAAUCAGGGAUCUUUGGAAGUGGAGACCAGACAGGCAAAGAUUUGGAAAAAAAUGACAUGGUGGUUAGACACAUGAUUCAGGAAGAAUAUGUGGAACAACAAUUCUGAUGGGGAAGGUGUGUUCAGCAGAAACAUGAAUGAAAAUUCAUUUCACAUGCUGAAGCGAGGAAUCCUGCUCAGGAAAGGCCAGGAGUAGAACAGCAGAACGCUGGCAAGCAGGAACCAACGUGUUCAAGAAGCACACAGGGAGGAAGCUGACGCAGCUCUUUGUUACCCUGAGAACACGAUGUUGCCCUGCAUGCAUCACUGAAGUGCCUUCAAAAGGUGAAAUGAGGGGCAAGUGUUUUCCACUUUGUUACUUCACAAAACACAUGGAAAAGUCAGAGAGUCCUGUUCAGCCAAAGACAUGGGCCUUGGCGAUAUGAUUCUUGUGUUUCCAUACACAUUCCCUGCUUUGCUGUUGCAGCUACUGGAAUUAGCAUGCAGCAAUCGUGAGGUGUGUUUAUCCCACAGGCCAGGCUAACGGAGCUAAUUUUAAUGUAGCUGUUGGCUACCAAGAGCCUGGGAGCCACAGGAGUAUGAGUGUCUGGGCCAGCUCUGUACUAACUCAGCUAGCCUCAGUCAAAGAUAACCUUAAUACCUCUGGGCUGCUGCUCAUGCAGAAGCUAAGAUAAAGCUAUGUGUCCUCUAUGCUUUUAUGUCCCAGGCAGAUACCCAGCACGUACACACCCCAGCUCACCCACCUCUUAUUCCACAGAAAUAGUGGUGCACAGAAAUAGUGGUGCACCAACGGUCAUCACGAAACCCACACGUGUGCUCACAAGUAGUGUGUAAUGUUGAAUAAUAACAAUUUCAUCACUUAUUUUAAUAUCUGUAUUUCUUUAGCAGUUUACAUACAGGUCAGAAUGGGUCUUAUGUUUACCGUUCCUCAGCAUUAUAACCCCUUUUGUUAAAUAAGAAAACGCUCGUAUUUAAAACAAUAUAACCCAAUAGAAAACAUACUCAUCCCAUUUGGACAGCAAUACUGAGUUGUAAAAACUUGCAAAGAAUAAACAGUAUGAGACACCUAAUAAAAGUGCUAAUCAGAUAACAUCUAAAAUGUAAGUAAAAGAAGAAAAUUAAAAGAAUGUGGUCUUAUAACAAAAAAUCUAUUUUUAAUACACUGAAAUUCUGAUAUUUAUCUGUAUCUAUGAAAUACAGAUCUCUACGCUUUUCAGCUCUAAUUUUGUUAUUUUUGACUCUCUUAACAUAAGCAGCUAACUAAGGUUUAUGAUUGAUAGAGCUAUUACUAAUAGAAAAGUAAUUUGGUGAAGGAGUUAAGGUACCUUUAUGAAAUCCUGUUUAUUUAGAAAAUACGUAUGAAAAGUUGUGCUUCAAUUAGCAUAGCAGGAAUCGAACAGAAAGGGGUCAUAUGUUUCUUUCAGUACUCAUAAGUAAACUUUCCAGCUUAUUUUCUGCUCAUAAACUCUGUAUCUAAUCUUAGAUUUUCUCCCAGUCAGCUGUAAGCAAUUCCCUGCCUGCCUCUGGGUAUUUCUUUGAUGCCUUUAUUAUGCUUCCUCUCAGGCAGACAGAGAGUUCACCAAGCAACACGCAGUCCCCUUCCUUUGCAGUAAGACCCAAAGAAACAGACCUGGCCACGUAGGUCCGAUCCGUCAGCUGCCCUGGGUGGGGCCUCUGCUUUUAACACAGUUCUGAUUAUUUCAGCUCUAUAUUCCAUAAAGGAACAGAAGUGGUUUUACAUUUUUCCUGCAUAAAAGGCUUCUUUUCUAUCUACCUGCUUCCCCUGUAUCACACAGAAAUGUGGUAACUGUACUCUCCAUUUACUUUACUUUUCUAAAAGAAAAAAUGUUUACAUAUCAAAUGGGGAAGGGAAUAGAGAGAAUAUACCUACUUGUCUGGCAUAAAUUUUAAUCUUGAAAUUUUGGCAUAGAAUGGAUUUUAAGGGUAUGUUUGGCAUUGGACUACUGUCAUCUUGAACUUGCUAUUUAUGAAAAUUAAACAGGAAAGCUUUAAAAGGUUCAAUUUAGUCUUUUAUUUAAAGAUAAACUAUUAUUCAUUAUAUUGACUUAGCAGUAUGCAUAAUUGUCUCCUCAAGUUUAGAAAGGACAGAGGGACGUCUGACAAGCUGGAAAAGUAAGAAAAAAGAAUAUUGUACCAUGCCAGCAAAAACAAAAUAUGUUUUCAUUUUUAUAAUAAAUAUAUAAUAAAUCCCAAAUGUGCAAUUAAGACUGCAGUCAUCACUAGAGGUCAGUCAUAUUUACUGAUUUCUCUUCCUUGGAUGAAUGUUUCCAUAGUAUUUUGAUGUCAUUCAUAUUGCACAAUAGUCAUAAAACUUAAUCCCUUUCACCUCUGCCUCUUUUCUUAUACCUUCUUUCCCUGUAUCACUCACUUUUUUUCCACCUCUGACAUUCUUUCCCUCUCUUUUCUUUUUGCUGCCUCCAUAUUAUUCUGCUCUCUCAUAUACGUACUCCUUGCUACCGAUGACAUCCAUGCUGCUUAGCAGCUGUUAAAAACUGCAUAGUCUAAAUACCCACAGGCAAAUUAAGGUGUUUGAAGGAAACCGAGCUUCCCAACGUACUGCCUUGUGGUGUCACCUCACAGUAGCAUUAGGAAUUGAUGGCCAAGCGUGUGGGCAGCCCUGAGCACACCAGAGGCUCCUCACCACGGCCCUGUCCAUCCCUGUCUGCCUCGCAGCCUUCCUGGUUGCCGGGACUCUAGAAACGCUUCAUAGGCAGUUACAUCUGCUGCCGAGGAGCCACGCUGGUACGCCUUCUAAACACAGAUGUGUUACGGGGAGAAAUGCGUAGAAUUGUACAGACUGGAAUGAGUUAAUAAACUGAAUACUAUGUUACUAGAUUACUGAAAUUCUUAAUGCAUGUAUGUAGUGCCUUGCAAAUGAAAAGCUUUUCCUAAGUGAUGAAAAUUUAUUCUAGUGAAUUUUUAAUAUAAUAAAACCCUAGUCCUGUCCUACUGUACUCAUUGUUAUUUAAUCAAUUUAAAUGGAAUCAGGAUAUGAUUAUAAAGACUAAAAUUAUUCUAAACAGAACUAACUUGAACUCUCUGUCUUAUUAAACAGAAAGAAAUAUUAUACUUCGAUAAAUGUACAUAUAGCUUACAUAAGCCUUGCAUAGCCUCACUUGAACACAUAUUUAAUAAUACGGCUAAAGUUAUAGCUUAAAUAGCGUUUUUACUCCUAUGAAGUUUCAGAAAUUUUUGCUUGGUCCCCAGCUUGAACAUUUUCACAGCUAUUUCUGAACAGUUUCAGUUUAUUGCUGUGUCUUGCCU
Long non-coding RNA from Chroicocephalus ridibundus (black-headed gull), 3944 nucleotides. RefSeq lists it as uncharacterized. The transcript is spliced from 3 exons. Lineage: Eukaryota; Metazoa; Chordata; Aves; Charadriiformes; Laridae. The record is from RefSeq and is a predicted model, not a curated record.